RNAcentral lists this ribosomal RNA (370 nucleotides) under uncultured organism. RNAcentral's name for it is "bacterial SSU rRNA". It matches the Rfam family "Bacterial small subunit ribosomal RNA", at positions 526 to 896 of the family's 1533-position model. The record is from RNAcentral.
CGAAGGGGGCUAGCGUUGCUCGGAAUUACUGGGCGUAAAGGGCGCGUAGGCGGAUAGUUUAGUCAGAGGUAAAAGCCCAGGGCUCAACCUUGGAACUGCCUUUGAUACUGGCUAUCUUGAGUUCGGGAGAGGUGAGUGGAAUGCCGAGUGUAGAGGUGAAAUUCGUAGAUAUUCGGCGGAACACCAGUGGCGAAGGCGACUCACUGGCCCGAUACUGACGCUGAGGCGCGAAAGCGUGGGGAGCAAACAGGAUUAGAUACCCUGGUAGUCCACGCUGUAAACGAUGAGUGCUAGUUGUCGGCAUGCAUGCAUGUCGGCGACGCAGCUAACGCAUUAAGCACUCCGCCUGGGGAGUACGGUCGCAAGAUUA